Molecule: ribosomal RNA, 253 nt
Filed under: uncultured bacterium
Lineage: Bacteria
Description: partial 16S ribosomal RNA
Rfam family: Bacterial small subunit ribosomal RNA
Source: RNAcentral
UACAGAGGGGGCAAGCGUUGUUCGGAAUUAUUGGGCGUAAAGCGCUCGCAGGCGGUCUUUUAAGUCUGAUGUGAAAUCUCGUGGCUCAACCACGAACGGUCAUUGGAAACUGGGGGACUUGAGUACAGAAGAGGAGAGUGGAAUUCCACGUGUAGCGGUGAAAUGCGUAGAGAUGUGGAGGAACACCAGUGGCGAAGGCGACUCUCUGGUCUGUAACUGACGCUGAGGAGCGAAAGCGUGGGGAGCGAACAGG